GACGAACGCUGGCGGCGUGCUUAACACAUGCAAGUCGAACGGAAAGGCCCCUUUGGGGGUACUCGAGUGGCGAACGGGUGAGUAACACGUGAGUAACCUUCCCUUGACUUCGGGAUAACUUCAGGAAACUGGGGCUAAUACCGGAUAGGAAUCCUUGCUGCAUGGUGGGGGUUGGAAAGCUUCGGCGGUUUUGGAUGGACUCGCGGCUUAUCAGCUUGUUGGUGUGGUAGUGGCUUACCAAGGCUUUGACGGGUAGCCGGCCUGAGAGGGCGACCGGCCACAUUGGGACUGAGAUACGGCCCAGACUCCUACGGGAGGCAGCAGUGGGGAAUAUUGCACAAUGGGCGGAAGCCUGAUGCAGCACCGCCGCGUGCGGGAUGACGGCCUUCGGGUUGUAAACCGCUUUCAGCAGGGGCGAAGCUUGUGGUGACGGUACCUGCAGAAGAAGCACCGGCUAACUACGUG
RNAcentral lists this ribosomal RNA (465 nucleotides) under uncultured bacterium. Its description in RNAcentral is "partial 16S ribosomal RNA". It matches the Rfam family "Bacterial small subunit ribosomal RNA", at positions 28 to 507 of the family's 1533-position model. The record is from RNAcentral.